ACAACCGUCCGCUACAGGGAGAGGAACGGAAGUGGAUCUACCAGACCUGCCCACCCAGCGACACUGUGAUUGACAACCUGAAGCCAACACCCAUAUGAGUUUUGGGGUCCGCUCCAACAAAGACGAACGCAGCGGAAUCUGGAGCAAGCCUGUCAUUCACAAACCAACAUGGGCGAGGGUUGGACAAAAGCAUCCAGAAACCCUACAAGCACCGGACCCCUAUUGUGAAGCCAAUGAAACCACCCAUGUCCCGUGCACUUUUCCCACCUCGUCCAGCUAUUCACAAUAAGACUCAGCCUAGACUCUCUCUGACCAAAAACCAAGCUUUCCCAGGAGCUCCCAAGACAUCUUUUGCACCACCAGAGAGCCACCUGGAAGCUAGACCUGACCCCCGCUCCAAUGAGCCUCAAUGGCCACAGUUCCCACUGGACGGAGGAAACAGUAUUAGAAAUGCUUCCUCUCAUCUCGUGGACCUCCCUCCUGCCCCCUCCCAACUCCUGCCCACCAAAACCCCCAGUACCUCCUCUGCCACCCCUGUCCUUAACAACCCCUCUCCACACGGUGAAAAGCAACAGGGACAGACCCAACCCAGGGGACCUACUAGCGCCACAGAGAAGCCACAUAACCCUUCCUCUGGAUCUCGUCCGUCCAAUCCUGUCAACAAAAAGACCAACCUGGUUGGCAAACCUGGUGAUAUGAACAAGCUGAAUGUCUUGAAGCAAACGGACAAGGCCUCCAUUUUGAAGAAGUUUCCCAUCAGUGACGGCUAAACCUGCCAAGCAAGACCGCAGACACACAACAACGACUACACCAUCAGUCAACGACAUCUGGUUUGAAACCUGGGAGAACUCCUCAUUAUUCAGCUCCCUACCGGCCUCUGACGUGGACGCAUUGGGAAAGAAACGUUUCGUUG
Molecule: non-coding RNA, 913 nt
Organism: Salvelinus sp. IW2-2015
Lineage: Eukaryota; Metazoa; Chordata; Actinopteri; Salmoniformes; Salmonidae
Source: RefSeq, a predicted model, not a curated record